Molecule: ribosomal RNA, 445 nt
Filed under: uncultured bacterium
Lineage: Bacteria
Description: bacterial SSU rRNA
Rfam family: Bacterial small subunit ribosomal RNA
Source: RNAcentral
CCCAGACUCCUACGGGAGGCAGCAGUGGGGAAUAUUGCACAAUGGGGGAAACCCUGAUGCAGCGACGCCGCGUGAGUGAAGAAGUAUCUCGGUACGUAAAGCUCUAUCAGCAGGGAAGAAAAUGACGGUACCUGACCAAGAAGCCCCGGCUAACUACGUGCCAGCAGCCGCGGUAAUACGUAGGGGGCAAGCGUUAUCCGGAUUUACUGGGUGUAAAGGGAGCGUAGACGGCAGCGCAAGUCUGGAGUGAAAUGCCGGGGCCCAACCCCGGAACUGCUUUGGAAACUGUGCAGCUCGAGUGCAGGAGAGGUAAGCGGAAUUCCUAGUGUAGCGGUGAAAUGCGUAGAUAUUAGGAGGAACACCAGUGGCGUAGGCAGGUUGCUGGGACGGUUCUGACACUAAGGCACGAAAGCGUAGGGAGCAAACGGGAUUAGAUACCCCGGUA